UACGUAGGGUGCAAGCGUUAAUCGGAAUUACUGGGCGUAAAGCGUGCGCAGGCGGUUUUGUAAGUCUGUCGUGAAAUCCCCGGGCUCAACCUGGGAAUUGCGAUGGAGACUGCAAGGCUAGAAUCUGGCAGAGGGGGGUAGAAUUCCACGUGUAGCAGUGAAAUGCGUAGAGAUGUGGAGGAACACCGAUGGCGAAGGCAGCCCCCUGG
RNAcentral lists this ribosomal RNA (209 nucleotides) under uncultured bacterium. RNAcentral's name for it is "partial 16S ribosomal RNA". It matches the Rfam family "Bacterial small subunit ribosomal RNA", at positions 524 to 732 of the family's 1533-position model. The record is from RNAcentral.